Gorilla gorilla gorilla (western lowland gorilla) is the source of this 148-nucleotide non-coding RNA. It matches the Rfam family "Metazoan signal recognition particle RNA". Rfam says of the family: The signal recognition particle (SRP) is a universally conserved ribonucleoprotein. It is involved in the co-translational targeting of proteins to membranes. Lineage: Eukaryota; Metazoa; Chordata; Mammalia; Primates; Hominidae. The record is from Rfam.
GCUGGGCAUGGUGGUGUGUGCCUGUAAUCCCAGCUACUGGGGAGGCUGAGGCAGGGGAAUGGCUUGAACCCAGGAGGCGGAGGUUGUAGUGAGCCAAGAUUGUGCCACUGCACUCUAGCCUGGGUGAUAGAGUAAGACUCCGUCUCAA